RNAcentral lists this ribosomal RNA (634 nucleotides) under Allorhizobium borbori. Its description in RNAcentral is "bacterial SSU rRNA". It matches the Rfam family "Bacterial small subunit ribosomal RNA", at positions 64 to 746 of the family's 1533-position model. Lineage: Bacteria; Pseudomonadati; Pseudomonadota; Alphaproteobacteria; Hyphomicrobiales; Rhizobiaceae. The record is from RNAcentral.
GAGCGCCCCCGCAAGGGGAGCGGCAGACGGGUGAGUAACGCGUGGGAACGUACCCUUUGCUACGGAAUAGCUCCGGGAAACUGGAAUUAAUACCGUAUGUGCCCUACGGGGGAAAGAUUUAUCGGCAAAGGAUCGGCCCGCGUUGGAUUAGCUAGUUGGUGGGGUAAUGGCCUACCAAGGCGACGAUCCAUAGCUGGUCUGAGAGGAUGAUCAGCCACAUUGGGACUGAGACACGGCCCAAACUCCUACGGGAGGCAGCAGUGGGGAAUAUUGGACAAUGGGCGCAAGCCUGAUCCAGCCAUGCCGCGUGAGUGAUGAAGGCCUUAGGGUUGUAAAGCUCUUUCACCGGAGAAGAUAAUGACGGUAUCCGGAGAAGAAGCCCCGGCUAACUUCGUGCCAGCAGCCGCGGUAAUACGAAGGGGGCUAGCGUUGUUCGGAAUUACUGGGCGUAAAGCGCACGUAGGCGGGCAUUUAAGUCAGGGGUGAAAUCCCAGAGCUCAACUCUGGAACUGCCUUUGAUACUGGGUGUCUUGAGUAUGGAAGAGGUAAGUGGAAUUCCGAGUGUAGAGGUGAAAUUCGUAGAUAUUCGGAGGAACACCAGUGGCGAAGGCGGCUUACUGGUCCAUACUGACGC